RNAcentral lists this ribosomal RNA (499 nucleotides) under uncultured bacterium. RNAcentral describes it as "partial 16S ribosomal RNA". It matches the Rfam family "Bacterial small subunit ribosomal RNA", at positions 28 to 507 of the family's 1533-position model. The record is from RNAcentral.
GACGAACGCUGGCGGCGUGCCUAAUACAUGCAAGUCGAGCGAAGUUUUUCUGGUGCUUGCACCGGAAAAACUUAGCGGCGAACGGGUGAGUAACACGUAAAGAACCUGCCUCAUAGACUGGGACAACUAUUGGAAACGAUAGCUAAUACCGGAUAAUAGCAUUAACUGCAUGGUUGAUGUUUAAAAGUUGGUUUUGCUAACACUAUGAGAUGGCUUUGCGGUGCAUUAGCUAGUUGGUGGGGUAAAGGCCUACCAAGGCGACGAUGCAUAGCCGACCUGAGAGGGUGAUCGGCCACACUGGGACUGAGACACGGCCCAGACUCCUACGGGAGGCAGCAGUAGGGAAUCUUCCGCAAUGGGCGAAAGCCUGACGGAGCAACGCCGCGUGAGUGAAGAAGGAUUUCGGUUCGUAAAGCUCCGUUGUUAGGGAAGAAUGAUUGUGUAGUAACUAUACACAGUAGAGACGGUACCUAACCAGAAAGCCACGGCUAACUACGUG